AUUGAACGCCGGCGGCAUGCCUUACACAUGCAAGUCGAACGGUAACGCGGGGCAACCUGGCGACGAGUGGCGAACGGGUGAGUAAAGCAUCGGAACGUGCCCAGUAGUGGGGGAUAGCCCGGCGAAAGCCGGAUUAAUACCGCAUACGACCUAUGGGUGAAAGGGGGGGAUCGAAAGACCUACCGCUAUUGGAGCGGCCGAUGUCAGAUUAGGUAGUUGGUGGGGUAAAGGCCUACCAAGCCGACGAUCUGUAGCUGGUCUGAGAGGACGACCAGCCACACUGGGACUGAGACACGGCCCAGACUCCUACGGGAGGCAGCAGUGGGGAAUUUUGGACAAUGGGCGCAAGCCUGAUCCAGCCAUGCCGCGUGCGGGAAGAAGGCCUUCGGGUUGUAAACCGCUUUUGUCAGGGAAGAAAUCCUUUGGGUUAAUACCUCGGGGGGAUGACGGUACCUGAAGAAUAAGCACCGGCUAACUACGUGCCAGCCGCCGCGGUAA
This 498-nucleotide ribosomal RNA is filed under the name uncultured bacterium. RNAcentral's name for it is "partial 16S ribosomal RNA". It matches the Rfam family "Bacterial small subunit ribosomal RNA", at positions 29 to 523 of the family's 1533-position model. The record is from RNAcentral.